Molecule: long non-coding RNA, 3865 nt
Organism: Centrocercus urophasianus (Greater sage-grouse)
Lineage: Eukaryota; Metazoa; Chordata; Aves; Galliformes; Phasianidae
Exons: 3
Source: RefSeq, a predicted model, not a curated record
GUCGGCUGGAGCUGCGGUAGCUUCGAUAGGAAAGGUUGGCCCGGCAUGGGGUGGCAUGGCACAGCUCGGUAAAGUUCUGCUUCGGCGCAGUUCGGCACAGCGCGGCUCGGCUCAGCCCAGCAUGGCACAGCAGCGUUUGGCACCGUUCAGCGUGGCUAGGUAUGGUUCAGCACAGCUCAGCAAGGUUCAGCUCGGCAUGCCACAACUUAGCAUGAUUCGGCAUGGCCCAGCACAGCUCUGCAAGGUUUGGCUCGACAUAACACGGCACGGUUUGGCAUGGCUCUUAGCUGCACAGCUCAGCGUGGUUUAGCAUGGCUCGGCACUGCUUGGCACAGUUAGACGCAUUUUGGCACGGCUCAGCGUGGAUUCACACAACUCGGCUUGGCCCAGCAGGGCUCAGUUUGGUUUAGCACAGCUCAGCUUGUUGUGACCUAGCACAGGUCAGCUCAGCACAGCACAUCUCAGGCUGACCUGGCAGGGCUCAGGUCAGGUUGGGAUGUUUCAGCCUGGCACGGAACAGGAACUGGAAUGGACUCAAAAUCGGAGGUGAACUGAGAAGUGGAAGCAGAAAUACAAAUGUAACCAGAAGCAGACUGUGAACCGGAAGUGGGCACUGAGCCAGAAGUAAAACUGCAGCUGGAAGGAGAUGUGGAACCUAAAGAAAACGUGCGACUGGAAGUGGAACCAAACCCUGACUGAAGGAGCGAGAGUGAAUGGCUGGCCGGAAGUGACCUCAGAGCCGGAAGUUGAAUCGGAAGUGAACACAGAACAAAAGAGGAACUGGAAGUACAAAUGUAAUGGAAGCAGACAUGAAACAAGAAGUGGAAAUGUAACCCAAAGUAAAUUAGAACCGGAAGUGAUCGUGGAACUGGAAGUGAAAAGGGAAGGAAAUGCAGAACCAGAAGUGGAACCACAAUUGGAAGUGGAAGUAAAUGAGAAACCGGAAUUGAAAGUGGAACCAGAAGUAAAAGCGGAUUGGAGCAAAAAUGAAUCCAAAACCAUAAGUGGAACAUGAAGCCAAAAGUAGAAGAUGAACCAGAAGUGGAAAUUAAACCAGAAGAGGAAGUAUAACCCGAACUGGAAAUGGAACGGGAAGUUGAAGUGCAAUCAGGAGUUAAAAUGUAUUGCCUGUGUCAUACAGGCAAUGAGCUCUGGGCUGAGCGAGGUGGCUGCCUGAGGCCUCCAUAGGCAUGCCCUGGAGAUGCUGGAGUGCACAGUGCAUCCCCCGUCUCCAUGCACAAGCUUGUGUGGAGGCUGUUGCCGAGGCUCCAUGCACACCUCACAGCCUGUGGCAGAGCUGGAGCAGAGAGACCUCCUCAAAACACAGGGCAGCACUAUGGGUUUGGAUGUUCCUCCAGUGUCCCCAGUCAAUAUGGGGGGCCCCUCUCACUGAGUCAUGCACGGAUCUCACCAUUAGCUCCUCCACACACUUAUCCCCAUGUGCACACACAGUGUCCAGACCAUCUGAAAUAAACAGCACUUUAAAAAGGAACUAGAGAAGGGGCGACUCACACUGCAUCACCUUUGAUAGGAGUGGUGUGGUUGGUGUUACAGCUCUGACUCAAAGGGAAGCUCCUGAAGGGGGUACCAAGACAAGAAGAGCAGCUGUUGCUCACAGCAAGGAGAUGGGGGCCAGGCUGACUCUCCUGCCAUGAAUUUUUGGCAGGACACUCCAUUCUUGCAGCUUUACCUGGAUUCUUCCCUGGCAUGAAGACCAAUGUUAUAAAGCAGGCCGGGUGAUUUUUCAAGGAGCCAGCUCCAUGUACAUAGUUCAGACUCACUGCUCAAACUUCACAUGAGGAGUCGUAUAAAGGCUGUUUAUAAAAACCAAGGGGAUUUCUUUAUUUUGGUGCAGUGACAAGGACCUGGGACAGUAUGCAGGGGCUGCCUUGGAUGAGCAGCCUGGGUGACUGUGCUUGUUGCAAAGUAGACUAGCUCCAGUUAUUGCAGGGAAGGUGAUUAAUGAUAUAUAUAUAUGUGUACAUGUAUAUAUAUGCCCACAGUAAGCUUGAGGCUCUUUGCAAGUCAUUAUCGCCCAACCAGUUUGUCAUAUGUUCUUGGUUAGUUAGGCUUGGGGAUGGGGGGGAGAAGAAAGCAAUAGUGAAAAUAGAAAACAGAAAAUAAGACAGAAAAUAAAAGCAAGGGUUCAUUACAGGAAUGCAGAGAUAGUGACCACUGCAGUUUCACAUUGCAUGAAUCUGGAAGGCAGCAGGGAUGGGGAGUGCAACUUCUCAGUCAGCGAUGGGGUGUUCUGAGCAAAAAGGCAAACAACAAAAAAAGGCACAAAAGGGUUCAGGCGAAAAUGGGCCAAAAGGCAUAAAAAGGCAGUAGUCCUUUGUUUGCAAAGUCCUUAUAAAUGAUCCGGGCUUUCUCUGCUUUCACAAGCUAACAACACAUUUUGCACAUUCAACACUACUGCGCAGCCUUAUCUACUCCUGCGCAGCCAGGGCUCCUCAUCUUAGGGUCACUUCCAUCUAUCUCAGAAGCAGAACACGAGCUGGGACCUUCCCCUUAUCUUCGUUGCCUCUGGCAACCACGUGUAGGCAGCAGGGAGUCCUUUAGAGUCUCCCACAGGCCUCUCAAGCAACUUCUGAGACAAAAACCUUCUUUGUAUACACUCACAGGGCUGCAACACUAUCCUCAUGCAACAGCAGGCAUUGGUUUCUGUAAAACUCAAGAGGUGUAGGAACCUGGGCCAAAUCUAUUUUAUUUGUUUAGAAAUUACCCUACAUUUUUGAAAACAGCAGCCUUGCCUAUUAAAGUGAGAAUAUGAUCACUGGAGUGUAUUAUACAUAAAGAAGGAGCACGUUUUCCAAAAAAAGGGAAGGUUCCAUUUUACUUUUAGAUUGACACAAAAUUCUUUGAUUCAGCUAGAUGGAGCAAGGGAGCAAGCCGAAUAUUAAUUGUUUGGCAAAUUCUACGUUAAAUUGUAAUGCUUUGUACUGGUGAGCAUUUCACAUUUUAUCAUUUCAGUUAGACCAUCAUGAAUGCUAUCCCAAAUACCUCCCCAGCAGCUGGAUUUGUCAGUAAUGCAUGUCAGACCGUCUUAAAAAGACUUGAGCUGAUGAAACAGUUCAAUCCUAAAGGAUCCUGGGACUACCAGGAGAGAAGAUUGCUGCCAGAUCAUAGCUGUGCUGUAGAUUCAAAUGAAGAGUAAGUGGAAAAUAACGUUACCUAGAUGUAACUGAAAAUCCUACAAAUUUCGUUUGGAAUUGCUGCAAAGAUGGGAGACACUCACUGCAGGACAGUAUGAAAUUGCCUGGUUAUUGUAUUGGGGUUGUUGGUUUUUUUAAACAAAUAAACAAAACUUGGGAGAGAAUUAUCACCUUAUCACCUAUUCUUAGUCCAAAAAGGACUUAAAAGCACUGAACCUGGACAAACAGUCCUCAAGUGGAGAUGCAAAAAGGUAUGAGAGACACUGAGGGCUGGAGCCUUCUGUGAGCCCUCAGCACACACCACUACAAAGAGAAAGAUAAGCAGGAAUUUUGACAUUAGAUCACUGUGAUGAAGGUCUUACAUAUGUAAUGGCAGUGGUUCAGAGGGAGAUCUUAAAAUGUGACCAAUAGCUGAUUUAUCCUAAAUUAAAGAGGCUGGCUUUGUCUACAGCAAUCCUAGGGCUAUGCUGGGAACUUGAUGGAAUUUUAGUUGAUGUGCUAUCUUGUCUUCUCUGAUUAAAGAUGUAAACUAGAGGUGCUAAGGUUUCUAACAAAAGACUGAUUCAUUCGACACAUUCAGCUUAUUUCCUUCAUGUCUUUCUCUCAUCUUUUGAACACCAGAGGACAUCAGAGAAAGGACCUGGGAGGAAUGAAAUGUUACUGAUUGUUAUUCCUGAGGUGAUUUAUACCCGCUUGGGUGAGGGACAGGA